This is a long non-coding RNA of Gossypium raimondii (Peruvian cotton), 1942 nucleotides long. RefSeq lists it as uncharacterized. The transcript is spliced from 4 exons. NCBI's taxonomy places the organism in Eukaryota, Viridiplantae, Streptophyta, Magnoliopsida, Malvales, Malvaceae. The record is from RefSeq and is a predicted model, not a curated record.
UUGGAGACAAUCUCAGCAGCAGAAACCAUGGAACCUGGACCCGAUUUCGCUAUAAUCUCGAAUAAAUCAAGAUCAACGGCGGCUUUCAAAGCAAAAGGAAGCACUGUUGAAGUAGCGUAUUGAAUUGCCCUCUGUAGAUCGGAUAUUGCAAUGCUAUAUCCAUAAUAUGCCUGGUCCUCUAUCACCGUUGAUAGAGAAUUACCUGCGGGAAGCGGGUUUUUGGCAUGUGGCGACGAUAGGCCGGGGGUGCAAGUUGGACCCGAAACUCAUUAGUCCGUUGAUGAAGAAGUGGAGACCCGAGACACAUAUGUUCCAUCUUCCAUGUUGAGAGUGUACUAUCACUUUGGAAGAAAUGAAUUUGCAAUUUGGAUUGCCGGUGGACGGGUACGCAGUCAUUGGGUCCGUUCAAUCUGGUGAUUGGGGAGCGGUAUGCUACGAGCUUUUGGGUGCUAUUCCGGAUAAUAUUAACGGAGGUCAAAUCGAGAUGGGCUGGUUACGAGACACAUUCCCAGAGCUAGAUGAUGAUUCUACCGAACUAGAAAGAAUAUGAUAUGCUCGGGCAUACAUUCUUGAGAUAAUUAGAGGUUAUCUGAUGCCGGAGUUGCCACGAAACCUUGUACAUCUGAGAUGGCUGCUGAAACUCGUUGAUUUUAGAGCAACUGGUGAAUUUAGUUGGGGGUCUGCCGUGUUGGCAACAUUGUACCGGGAGAUGUGAGGGGCGACACGACCGAAUAAAGAAAAAAUCGGAGGUUGCCUAUCAUUACUGCAAUAAUGGGCACGAUUUCGCUUUUCAUUUUUACGUCCUCGAGUGGACCACCCAUAUACAUUCCCACUCAUAAUGAGGUGGAACUAUUCGGCAAGUUAUGUUGGAUUGCCUACCUCUCUUGAAGAUAUACGGCUUCUAUUAGACCAACGGUCGGAAGCACAAUUUCAAUGGACACCAUACGAGGAUCUGGAAAUUCGGGCAGUAAUUCAAGAUGAAUUCUUUCAAAAUCCGAACAUUUGGCAUGUGAAGGUCCCAUUGGUCAACUAUGCUAUCGUGGAGAUACACCAGUCAGACAGAGUAUUAUGGUAAUUUAGAUUCCGACAACCGAUUCCUGUGGCACCUAAGGUGUUGGAUGAUCAUCACAGAAUCGACUUACAACAAUUGCAUACGGAUUGGUCGAGAUUUUGGUCACACUAUAUCUAAAUGUGAGAAUAUCGGUAUAAUUAUAUACCUACUCGGGAAUUGAUCAUUGUUCUAGAGUUAGCGUGCGUGCUGGAAUACAUGCCAUGGUUUAAGAUCCAUGGCAAGCCAUAUUUAUUGUCGGAAAAGGAGAGGCGACGGCAAUUGCGUGUCCAAAAGGAACGACGUGGCCCUUUCAAUCCAAGAAGAAGGGACGACGACGCAGGCCCAUCACAAUCACUCGGCCCAGCAACAACACCUACACAGUCAUUGGGCCCAACACUUUAACCGACGACACCCACAGCACAGCCUUUUUCAAAUAAUGUCAGGUGUGUCUCCUAGUCCUUUUAUGUAUCCUAACCCUUAUAUGUUUCCUUUUUCUAGUCCUAUGGCAGGUUAGAAUGCAUGGCCCGGUUCAUCUGCAUUUUUGAUUACUCCGAGUGGACCAUCGAUCUAUAUGCCGUCGUCGCACGAGGGAUCGCACGAGGGGCCAUCGGGGAGCUCUUAUUUUUACCAAUCCCCAUCACCUUUAUCCUCCCAACACCGACAACCAGAUCCCUACCGGAGGAAUCAGAAUCCCUACUGGAGCAACCACAACCCCCGCCGAAAGCUGGACAAAGGAGGAAUCCAGCGCGUAACCGUCGACGACCUCCAUGUGACACUGAAUCUGGCGGCCACGAACAUUAAUUUUUAUUUUAAUAUAUUUGUACAAACAUUUUGAAUAUUUUUAUAUUAUUUCAUGUAAUAAAAUAAAAGGAAAUAUUUUGAAUAUUUUUA